RNAcentral lists this transfer RNA (71 nucleotides) under Ovis aries (sheep). It matches the Rfam family "tRNA". From Rfam's summary of the family: Transfer RNA (tRNA) molecules are approximately 80 nucleotides in length. Their secondary structure includes four short double-helical elements and three loops (D, anti-codon, and T loops). Further hydrogen bonds mediate the characteristic L-shaped molecular structure. tRNAs have two regions of fundamental functional importance: the anti-codon, which is responsible for specific mRNA codon recognition, and the 3' end, to which the tRNAs corresponding amino acid is attached (by aminoacyl-tRNA synthetases). tRNAs cope with the degeneracy of the genetic code in two manners: having more than one tRNA (with a specific anti-codon) for a particular amino acid; and 'wobble' base-pairing, i.e. permitting non-standard base-pairing at the 3rd anti-codon position. Lineage: Eukaryota; Metazoa; Chordata; Mammalia; Artiodactyla; Bovidae. The record is from Rfam by way of RNAcentral.
UCCUGGUGACUCAGGCGGUAAAGAAUCUGCCUGCAACGCAGGAGACCCGGGUUCGAUCCCUGGGUCAGGAA